CCACGGGGGGCUGCAGUGGGGAAUAUUGGACAAUGGGGGGAACCCUGAUCCAGCCAUGCCGCGUGUGUGAAGAAGGCCCUCGGGUUGUAAAGCACUUUCAGUGAGGAAGAACGCCUGGUGGUUAAUACCCAUCAGGAAAGACAUCACUCACAGAAGAAGCACCGGCUAACUCCGUGCCAGCAGCCGCGGUAAUACGGAGGGUGCGAGCGUUAAUCGGAAUUACUGGGCGUAAAGCGCGCGUAGGUGGCUUGAUAAGCCGGUUGUGAAAGCCCCGGGCUCAACCUGGGAACGGCAUCCGGAACUGUCAAGCUAGAGUGCAGGAGAGGAAGGUAGAAUUCCCGGUGUAGCGGUGAAAUGCGUAGAGAUCGGGAGGAAUACCAGUGGCGAAGGCGGCCUUCUGGACUGACACUGACACUGAGGUGCGAAAGCGUGGGUAGCAAACAGGAUUAGAUACCCGAGUAGUC
RNAcentral lists this ribosomal RNA (464 nucleotides) under Vreelandella stevensii. Its description in RNAcentral is "partial 16S ribosomal RNA". It matches the Rfam family "Bacterial small subunit ribosomal RNA", at positions 339 to 795 of the family's 1533-position model. Lineage: Bacteria; Pseudomonadati; Pseudomonadota; Gammaproteobacteria; Oceanospirillales; Halomonadaceae. The record is from RNAcentral.